CGAGGUUGGGGGUGGGUCUCCGGGCGCGUGCUCCCCCCCCGGUGAGGGUGAACUAACGGAGGUGGGCGGGCCGGCGCACCGGGUUAGCAGGCGUUUAUCCUGUAUGGCCGCAGCAGUCAGCGCCCGUCACCAGCACGAGCCCCGCCUGCAGAGCCCUAGGCGGCGUCCAGCAGGAGGCCUCCCGCGGGAACUGUCACUCCGCCAAACAAGAGAGAUAAACAGGCAAAAGUCUAGAAACAAGCCAGCUGUCCAUCUACAGUGGAAAGUGUAAACAAAUUGUGAUGUGUUCGCGUACUGGAAUUUUACCCUGGCGUGAAAAAUCCACGAACCACAGCUGCAAGCAACAAUAUGGUGUCAGUUCUCUAAGGGCAGGGCCCACGCCUGCAAUUUCCCUCUCCGGCACCU
Eubalaena glacialis (North Atlantic right whale) is the source of this 405-nucleotide long non-coding RNA. RefSeq lists it as uncharacterized. Lineage: Eukaryota; Metazoa; Chordata; Mammalia; Artiodactyla; Balaenidae. The record is from RefSeq and is a predicted model, not a curated record. The transcript has 3 exons.